Molecule: long non-coding RNA, 549 nt
Filed under: Malus domestica (apple)
Lineage: Eukaryota; Viridiplantae; Streptophyta; Magnoliopsida; Rosales; Rosaceae
Description: long non-coding RNA (MDOM_LNC003127)
Source: RNAcentral
UCGUCCCAUUUUAGGCAUGUACGGAACUAUUGUCGACUCAUAUGGCUUCUUGUAUGAUCAGAUCUUCCUUGUAACAGUCAUACGUAUCUUUUUUAUUGUCUCCGGAUCUAAGUUAAGAAAGAUGAAAACUUCACCAUAUCGUAUUGCUCAAAAUUCUUACAAAACAACGUUGAAAUAAGUUUAUGAAAGAUUCUUGAUCAACUCCUAUUGAACUUUUGAUUCAAGUUGUUGUGCACAUACUACACUUCGUAAAAGUGUAUUCAUUUCGCACACCUCCACAUCUAUUUUUUUAACUUUAUUUUAUCUAGUCUUAAUAACCUUUGUGAAUGAUUUGACACUUAUCAAUGAUGCAACUGUAGCUCGUUAACGUUAUAUUCAGCGCGUGGGACAUGAGUAUUGUACCAUAUACACUAGGGUGUAUUAUAAUAUUUGUGCUAAAAUGGGUUUACCAAAAAAGGGCGCCCAUUUACUUAAUCUAUUGUACCUCAACAAUUUUUCACUUCUUAACAAAUUUAUUCUCUUAUGUCAUAUUUUCAUUUUGAUAUAAUA